CCUACGGGAGGCAGCAGUGGGGAAUAUUGGACAAUGGGGGAGACCCUGAUGCAGCAACGCCGCGUGAAGGAAGACGGUCCUAGGAUUGUUAACUUCUGUUCUUAGUGAAGCAUAAUGACGGUAGCUAAGGAGCAAGCCACGGCUAACUACGUGCCAGCAGCCGCGGUAAUACGUAGGGGGCAAGCGUUGUCCGGAAUUACUGGGUGUAAAGGGAGCUCAGGGGGGAAGCCAAGUCGGCUGUGAAAACUACGGGCUUAACCUGUAGACUGCAGUUGAAACUGGUUUUCUUGAGUGAAGUAGAGGUAGGCGGAAUUCCGAGUGUAGCGGUGAAAUGCGUAGAUAUUCGGAGGAACACCGGUGGCGAAGGCGGCCAACCGGGCUUUAACUGACGCUGAGGCUCGAAAGUGUGGGGAGCAAACAGGAUUAGAUACCCCUGUAGUC
Molecule: ribosomal RNA, 441 nt
Filed under: uncultured bacterium
Lineage: Bacteria
Description: partial 16S ribosomal RNA
Rfam family: Bacterial small subunit ribosomal RNA
Source: RNAcentral